RNAcentral lists this long non-coding RNA (17241 nucleotides) under Lotus japonicus. RNAcentral's name for it is "long non-coding RNA (LJAP_LNC001750)". The record is from RNAcentral. Lineage: Eukaryota; Viridiplantae; Streptophyta; Magnoliopsida; Fabales; Fabaceae.
UCUUAAGACCCUUAUGGCCCUCAUUUCCAAGAAGCCCGUUAGCAAGAAGCCCAAACUUUGAAUCAUUAUGAACCACAGGCCCAUAUUUAAGUUUACCUCCAUAGACUUCUUCCAAUCAGUUAAAAAUCUCCAUAUGAGGUAUUUCCUUUGCCCUAUUACCUUGGCCCAUUGAACUCCGUACAAAAUCUUCAUUGUCUUCGAUAUGAUGCGAGCCAGGUGAUUAGCUUCUCUUGUUGGAUUUCAACCAUUGACCAAAAAAAAAAAACAUUUAGGAAACUCACAUUUCAUAAAUCAUUAUGUGGUCAGGGACAUCACUACCAUAUCUCGGAUUAGUUACAUAGACUCAUUUUCACCUUGGAGACUGAUGGCCAAAGACAAAAAAAAAUUAUUGAGCUGCGAAAUUUUAUUUUGCUCAGUUAACUAAUAUUGGAGCCUCACAAUCUGCUAAUUAUCAACCUUAAGAAAGAAUAAAAUGGUUUAAAACAUCAGAUAAGGAUCCACAUAGUUUGAAAAACUGCAGAGACACUAAAUGUUUAAAACAUUUUUAUAUGAUGAUAAAAUUAAUAAAAAGUUCAGUUUAAAAAAUUCCAACAGUUGGACUGGAGAAUUCUUUAUACCAGAAAUACAGAGAAUCCCGGUGCGAUGAACAUCAAUGUAAAAUGCAUGUCUAGUCAUCCAAAUCCCGGUGCAAUGAACAUCAAUGCAAAAUGCACGUCUAGUCAUCCUUGUCAUCAUUUUUAAUGGAUGACUAGACGUGCAUUUUGCAUUGAUGUAUUUCUCAUCUUAAUAAAAAAAAGGUGAUUAUGAAAAAGCUCCAAAUAAAUCCUUUAUUUUAAAGAAAAAAGUAGUAUGACUAAAGUGGUAAAGUUUAGGUUGUUAGUUCAUUUGAUUAGAGGUGAUUGACCAUCGUUGAUUGAUCACCAGAUACACCUAUGAAAUCCCAGAUUUAUCAAUUGCAUCAACCCACACCAUCCAUGAAAAGGAACAAUGUAGCAGCAAGUGGUUAGAGGACUCUGCAAUGAACUGCACGAGCUACAGAAAAUUCCCUCAUCUAAAUUCACACCUCUAGCCACCAAUUUAACUUCUUAAAAAAUUCUCUUUUCCUGCAAGGAACAGAAAGAUUUUACUAAAAAAUUGCCAUUUAAUUAAAUCCAUCCAGAGCACCUUUUAAGGAUAAUACCUCUUCUACAUCAUUAUUCGCAAAAAUCAGGAUAUCGUCCGUGAAUUGCAAGUAACUGAUCACUAGAACCUUAACCAUAGUCACUCUUGCUAAAAUUCAAUAGUUCUACACCUAAACAAUUUUCAAUUGAAUAAGGAUUGAAUUUCUCUUUAUUUAUAUUAUUACAAAAAUUAACUCACAUCUGUCUAGCCCUUAAUUUAUAAGGUAAUCUAGGAAAAUAAAUAAAAAUAAAGUAAAAAGAAUUUACAAAUGCAAGAUAAACUAUCUUUAUACGCUUAACCAACACUUGCACGAAUGUUUAUGCCAUGACUUCAAAUAAGUUAUUCAAAACUCACAAGAUUAAAUUUUAGGAUUUAAGCAGCAGGUUUAUGCAGAUUUUGUUCAAUUCCAAAAGGUGCUGAUAGUCCUGAGCCUUCUGUAUCCUCUCUAGAGAUUUCCCCUGAAGCCAUUACAUCUUGUGCCCCCUCAUUGUCAAUGCCAUUUGGUUGAUGCUCACUUUUAGAAGAUUCAUCGUGAAACUUUGAAACAACAUUAUUAUUGCUCUUACUAUUGGUGCAGCUAUUGUUGCUGGUGUCACAAUUGCCAUGAUGUAUGGAAACAACAUCAGUAGCUUCAACUUCUUGGGUAUUUUCUGACACCAAGUCCUUCCUCUUUUUUGUUUCUUUACUCUUACCCCAAAGCACCAUGUACAAGCCACACACAAUUAGCACUCCUCCGAUAACACUAUAACAUGUUUCAAAAAAAUAACAAGAGUGAGUCAAACAUAUUGUACUUUCUCAAUUGCAAUAUGGGGCAUUCUACUAUAUACCACAAAAUAAAUGGUACAUCAAUCAAUACACUACUUGUAACUUAUUGAGUUUAGAAUGCGUUUGAGAAAACGGUUUAACAAUACGCUUAUUCAUAAACUAAUUUAAAAAAUUUACUAAAAUAAGUUGAAAAUAUGUUAUGAAUAAACAUAGAUUUUUAUUCAUUAGCUAUUUUGAACACCUUAUGAAAAUAAGCUAAAACAACUUUUAUGUAGGUCAUAAGCUCUCUAAAAAGCAUAUUAAUGUAUACCUUCCUAAGUAUAUCUUCUCAUUCAAAACCAGGGAACUACCAAUAGCCACAAUAAUAAGGGUAAGAGGGUUGAAAACAGAUGCAAACAUGGGACCUCUCACCCGUACACACCAUGCAGUGGCAACAUACACCACUCCAGAGGACAUAAUUCCCUGCAAAAGUUACAUGUUUCAAUAUCAUUGUUGCAUAAUAUUAGUUCACCCAUCCAACCACAAUGUAAUAGAACAAUUAGCAUUUUUUUGAAAACAAAAAUUAAUUUUAUAAUAUUCAUAAAGUUUAGAACAAAAGUCUCUCAAGUGAGCAACGAAACCAACUGAAACCUACCAGGGCAGCACAUAAACAUGGAAUUGAGAAAAGGACUAAAAUGAUCACCAUACCGAGUAAGUUGCGGUUAGAAGCCUAAGACUCCAACCUAACUUCCAUUGGCUCCAAUCCUUCUCAACCCAAAGGGCGAAGACAGUACAUUGUAUUGCCGCCAUUAAGGUCAUCAAGGCCGUGCUUGUGUAUUGUCUUGGAUAUUCUUUAGCAAUCUUAGCCUGUGCGUUAUAGGGUGGUCAAUAGUGAAAACAAGAAUAUCGUUACAGCCUGAUCAUGUGAUAAGUUAGAUAGAAGUGUGUAAUGAAUUUACCUGGAUGAUGAGCCAGAAUGAAAAGCUUAUGCAGCUUCCAAUACCACAUAAAACACCGAUUGUUUUUGUUCUAGUGUCAACAUUCUGUGUUCCUCCGUGGCCAUUUUGAUUUUGAUGCAAAAGAUUAAUGUGGGAGGUCCAAAUGUGAAUUUCUGCCCCUUUGAAAAAUGUCAGCAGCAUUGAUCCACCAAUUCCAACUAUUGUUCCCAACAACUUCACCUGCCCUGCUGCUCUUCCUAUGUUUAACUGUUCGAAGCUGAAAAUUUCAAAAGAACUUUAGUACUUAUCAAUCUUUCUUGAGUGAAUGUCAUCUAGGUUCCAGAAACAUAUUGUCAAUGGCAAGUUAGUGCCUGUCUUGCUUGAGUGAAUGUCAACUUGGUUCCAAAAACAUUUUGUUAGUACCUAUAAGAAGAAAAUACAUUCAAAAGUUCAAUCUACAUAAAAUGCCAAUCAAAUUAAUUAAUUAAAACGUCAAUUAGAAACUAAUUUGACGGACUUGAGUAGUUAUCAAUUUUCUGAAGUAUAUGCUCAGUUUUGUGUUUGAAAUUUUUGCAGUUGACAUAUUGAUCAACUAGAACAUCAGUCAAGUUAGCCGAUGUUGGGACUAAUUUGACUGAUAUUUUACAUGUUCAAAGACUUUUGAAUGCAUUAUUUUUUAGGAACUAACUUUUCAAGCACAAAAACUCUUGGGAACCAAGUUAACGCUUCACUCAUUUUUCUUAAUUAUAAAAGAAGAUAAAAAAAGAUUGAAGUACUGUAAAAUGUGAAUAGGUACCCGAAAAAGAUGCCCAACAUAAAUGUGAUUCCAGGAACGAGAUUAUAAAUGGCAGUAGCAAAUGUUGCUGAUAUCAGAGAGAUAGCAUUGACAAAGAGGUUUUGGAAUAGAGUCCCUCUGUUUAUAUCAUUAUUAAACAUAAACCAAUGUUCAAAAUCACUACAAAUAAACAAUAUGUACAAUACAAUUUAGCAAUACAUGCCCAAUAAUUAAAAGAAAUACCUCUCAGGAAAAGAGAUGAAGACUGAAGAGUUCAGAUCAGACAUACCCAAAUAGGCCGGAAAGAAAUGUCAUGAAAAGCACCCUCCAUGUCAGCUUUGGCCUGUUCUUUCUGCUUCAAAUUAAAAAAAAAAGAACAGAAAAAUUAAAUUAGAGGACAAAACACUAUGCAUGUUCAUUUUAGCCCUUAAUAUGCGAGCCCAACACAAGUGCAUAUCCAUGAUUUUAUUGUUGGAGACACAAAUAAAAUGUGGAAAAAUCUACAAAGUUUAUAGGGAAUGAACUGAGAAUAAUUUUUUUUUUAUACAAAAAUCAUAUAAUUGAAAGGGCUUUUAUCAGAUCUCUGAAUUAAGAUAUAUUUCUACAUAGUUUAAAAUGUGUUUGCAAGUUUAUAGGGGAGAGAAGGGGAGGCUUUGAGGGGAAAACAGAUGGGAAGACAAUGAAGGGAUUGUGUGCAAAACUAGAGAAGCAAUUAACAGGGGUUAUGAAUAAAUGAACCUUUCAAAAAUAAGAGAAAGAAGAAUAGUGCAAGCAGCACCGAACAUGAGGCGAUAGGCAGUGAUUACACUAACGCUCAUUCCAUCGUUUAAGACAACCUUGUAGAGAACAUUUGCAGAAGCAUAAACAAUCUGAACCGCCACCAUUAGCAGAACAGGGCUCAACCCUUGCAACCCUACCCAUAAACCUUUCAUUUUGCUUGCUGUUGUGAAUUGUCUUAGACAGAUUUAAGAAGGGAACAGAGAAAAUAAUUAAGACAUACGGAAAUUCUAUAGAACAAUGUACAAAGUGGAUUUAUAUUUAUUUGUGCAUAACAUGCUCUAUGAUAAAUGUACUGGAAUUGGUUCCAAGUUGAAAAAACAAAGCAUGCAUUUAUUUUAGCCUUAAAUUCCGGUUUACUCUAGUACAGAGCAUUUGACCCAGGUUGGACAUCGUGAUCGUGUAGCUGAAAACAGGAGAGUGCGUUGUACCUGUGUAGUCUAUAAAUGUUUUUUGAACGCUAGUCUAUAAAUGUUAGGAGAAAAUUAAUACAAUUAAAUACCGAUUUUGUCUAUAUAGGGUAUAUAUAUAUAUAUAUAUAUAUAUUAAGAGUGAUAAAUAAUCUAUUCCCAAUUAAUUAUACUACAAAAGAAAAUUUCACUUGACAUAUAUGACAAUAUGAAUUAAUUAUAAUUGACUUUUGUAUCAUAUUCAUUGUACUAAAUAAUAUAUUAAUUUUAAAACCUCUCAUACAUAUCUUUUUUUAAAGAUAUAUUCUCUUGCCUACCAUGAGAAGGUUGUUCUCAUGAUCGUUCUUAUUAAUAUCAUUUCUAUUUUCUCAAAAAAAAGGAUACAUAUCCUUAUCCAAAGAAAAUUGUUUAUACAUAUUACUAGUAUUAAUCUCGCGCCAUACACGGAUAGAAUAAGAGUGCUUUGUCGGCAUACAUCAAACAUUUUCAUAUUUUCUCUCUCUUUUUCUCCCUUUUUUCUUUUUUAAAUACAUAUAUCACUUAUUUAAGUUUUUUUUUCUAAUUAUAGUUACAUUCUAAUUUCUCUAGUUUUUUCUUCUAAUUUGUUAUGUUUUGAAUCAAAAUAUCAAAAACAUUUUUAUCUUCCAGAUAUUUAUAUCCAGAUAUAUAUAUAUAUAUAUAUGAAAACAUAAAAUACAAAAAUUUUGAGUUAACUUCCAAAUCAAUCAUUUUUUUUGUACAUCGAAAAGAUAAAUUGCACCCUCCUGGGAUGGAACCCUGGACCUCCCACUGCACGCCCAACUCAUAUGUUCCCUAACUCUUAACACUUGAACUAUUAUUCAGGAAGUCUAAAUCAAUUCUUUAAAACUUUUUGAUAUCAAAUUCUCUAAGGCAUAUAUAUUUGAUAUCAUUGUCAAGAUAGGAUAUUACAUUCAAUUUUUUUUUUUUAUAUAAAAAAUAACCAUAAUCAUUAAAAAAAAUUCUUUAUCAGCAUACAUCUUAAUGGUAGAAAAGUUACAAUUGACUUUUAUUAAUUAUUCUAAUGUCAUUAAAAACCAAUAAAUAUCAAAUUAAUGCAAUAGUUAUUUUCGAAAAAAGUAACAAUUGACUUUUGUUAAUUAUUCUAAUGUUAUUAAUAAUUAUUAAAUGUAAAAUUAAUACAUUAAUUAUUUUUAAAAACAUAUAAUUAUUUAAUACUUAAAUUAUCAAAAAUAUCAACAUCAUCUACAUACUAAUUAGGGCCCGUUUGAUAUGUUGUAUAGUAUUAGAAUUGAUAGUAUAAGGUCUAAUUGUAUUAGACCUGAUAUGAUAAGGCCUGAUAAAAUUUUAAUACUAUACAACGUUUGGUCAUACAUUGUAUAAUUUGGUAGCAACAGUAGUUGUGGUGAGAGUGAUGGUAUUUGUAACGCCCCGAAUUUCGGGUGUCACUUUAGUAACCUAUCAAAGUAAAUAUGCAAUAUUUUCCAAACGAAUGUAUAAACACGAGUAUUAUUUUUUUUUUCUUUUCGAAGUGUAUUUCCAAAACAUGUCAUGCAUACUCUCAACUACAAAGCCUAACCAAUAGAAACAACUCAACAAAACUAUUAUGCAAUGACACCAUGAAUCCGACAUACUCCCUACGAUCUCCACAUCGGGAAACCGCAGGAAAGCAAUGCAUCGGAACCUACCCGAAACCUCAAAUAUAAAUUCCUAAAAUCUUUAUGCAAGCUUAAACCAAUAACAGUAAGCUCUCUAACCCAAGGAUCUAGCCUUAAACCAGACUCUACUCGUCGAGUACUCCACUAUCCUUCAAGUCCUCAUCUCUACUUGCACAAAGGUUAAGCUCCUUCGAAGAUUCUUCGUCGCCUAAUAGCGUUAAGCGCCCAAACAACAAAUAACAAACAGAAAGGGUUAACUCCAUGCAAUUACCACGUAGAAAAGAGAAAAACAUGUUAUUCAAAUUUAAGUGCAUAUCAUGGCACAUAAACUAGCAACUUAUUUCAAGAUAAAUGACAACAUAUAUCCAACAACAUGAAAUCAAAUCAUAUAUCAGCAAAAUCAACGAUUUGAAUUUAACUCAGAUAUCAACAACUUAGCAACAUAGAUACGACAAACAGAUAAGCUAACAAUAUAAUCAAAGAUAGAUAUCAAUAGAAGCAACAACAUAGAAUUAAACCAGAUAUAAACAACCUCAACAACAUAGAAUCAACUCAUAUAUAUGACAAUAACCUCAAAUCAGAUAUCAACAACCUUAAAAAUAUACAUCAAAUCAAAUAUCAACAAUCAUCAACAAUAUAACAUCAAAUUAGAUAUCAACAACCUUAAAAAUAUAACAUCAAAUCGGAUAUCAACAACUUCAACAAUAUACAUCAAAUCAAAUAUCAAUAACCUCAACAAUAUAACAUCAAAUCAGCUAUCAACCAAAACAUCAGAAGCAAAUAUUAUUGCCCUAUAAUGCAACUAUAUGCUGCAACAAAAAUGGAUCGAUCAAUAAUGUCUCGCAAGACGGGACAGAGCGAGGAACAGACUCCCCUGAACUAUCACCAAAUAACGCCCAUGAAAGACGGGACAAACGGAGAACGGACUCCCCUGAAUGCCACUUAAUAACGCCCAUGAAAGACGGGACAGUCAUGUGAAAAUAUCCACUCCACUGCCACUUAAUAACGCCCAUGAAAGACGGGACAGACGGAGAACGGACUCCCCUGAAUGUCACUUUAUAACGCCUCGAAAGACGGGACAAUCCCGUGGGACAAACCCACCUCAUCGCCACUUCAAGCAAACCAAAACAUCUCAUCCAACUCAGUAGUCACUCAAACAACAAUCCCAAAUUCCCUAAUCAAAUCAAGAUAAUCACAUGUUAUUCAUAUUAUCGACAAACAUAAAUCAAUUCAAUGCAUACCAGAUCAGUUCAAUGACAGAAACCAGUAAACGACCGAAGCCUCUCAGAAAACGGAGACACACGUCUCAAUAAGUUCACUCGGCCGAAGCCUUCAGAAAACAUUUAGCACAAGCCUCAGAAAUAGUCAACAUAAGCAAGCAUACAACAUUGAAAGCAUACCAACAUUUCAAUCAAUUGCCAAUCAAGUUUAAACAAACUUCAUCUCAAACGCAUGCAGUGCGAUAAAAGCAUGCAAGACUCAAAGACACUCAAAAAAUGAGUUACCCUUACCUUAGCCAAUUUCUCCAUCCAAGCUCAACAUCCCAGUCCAAUCCAAAAUAAAGCUCCCGACCCAGCAAGUUCCCCGGGCGUCCUCCUCAGUUGUGAAACCUCACCAAUUGCUCCAAAAUCUCUUUCCUCAGCUCAACUCGUUCCAAACCUUAAGCAAAGUAUCAUUGCUUAGUCGCUAAGAAACAAAACAACUAAUAACACUAUCAAAACCCGAAAAGAAGCUUCGAAGCUCUAGAGUUCGACAUUUAGGCACGAAUGGACAAUAAGACAGGUUUUCGCUGAAAUGCGCAUAACUCGAGCUACAGAACUCGGAAUGACACGAAACCAACGGAAAAAUUUCGACAAUUGAAAGAGCUACGCAAUGGCUCAGGUCAUAGAGACCCAAAAAUUAUUUUUGGACACGGUACCCUAACAAACAGGUUUCGGCCACUUUAGAAAAUAGGGUUUCCGAACUUUUUCUUCGAUCUAAAUCAAUUCCUAGGUAUUCUUAGGCGAUAUCUAGGCCAGGGAAACUCUCAGAAAAAUUAUCGGGUCGAAAACUGUCGCAGGGGUAUUUUGGUCAAUAUUUUUAGCUCGGAAACUCAAAAUCAGAAUUUCGAAAAAUAAAUUAGAUGGGGUCGAUACCAACGACGAUUAUGACGACUAAUCCUACUGAUGCUAAGCUCAGUCGAGAUUUUUUGACUCAAAAAGCGGAACCUCAGCAUAAAAUGGGUUUUUAGUCAGUUUUUCAGAUCUACGGCGACUCGGUGAAAAUCCGAACGAUCCAACAGUGAUUAUAGCAUGUUGGGUUGCAGUAGAAGAUAGUUGGAAAGAAAAAUCGAGGUAAUCAGACAUUUUUACAAAAAGUUCUAAACUUUGAGCACAGAAAUAGCUAGAAUAAGCCGACAGAAAGCAGAAAUAGAAGUAAGAUUAAGCAUCCUUACCUCUGUGUCUACACGUAGCUUCUGAAAUAAGGACGAUCGGGCAAGAAUCGGAAAAAGCUCUGCACCCCUCUCUUUCUCUCUCUAACUCUCGGCCACUUUGGGAGAAAAUGAGAUAUUUUCUCACUUUUUCCCUUUUUAUAGUAGAGGGGAAAAUCCGAAAAAUCGAUAUUUUGCGGUUCCGGUCGUUUUGGUACUUCCGUCUGCUGAUAAAAAUUGAGUUUUCGGCGACAGAAUGUCGAAACUCAAAUCAAGGUUCAUUUAAUUGAGGAAAACGUCUCAAAGACGGUGUGAGUCGAUUUAUGCUGAAAAACUACUUUUUGCAGUUGACGUCGGAUGAGGAAACUUCCUUCAGGAAAAAGAUCAAAAACGUCGAAAGAAAUGAGGCAACGCGGAUGGAAACUUCGCUAGAAGCUCCGAAUAGAAAAACCCUUCAUUCAAGGUCUUAGUUAAAGUUCCCGAGAUGUUAAAGUCUGGCUUCGGCGGACUUCCGGGAAGCGAAACCUAACAAGCGUAUAGUCCAGGGUUUCGUAUCGGAAAGCUAGUCAUGGGAAAAAUACUCAGAGGUUCUUAUUCUCUCUUUAAUUCUAAAAUUCUCUUAAACAAUGCUCUAGGAGCGGAUAUAGCCUUUUUCGGACACUCUCGACCUUAGUCGGGUGCGAAUAUGGCUUGUGCCAUCAAUCAAAAUGACUAAAGUGUCAUCCUUAAACAUACUGCGAACUUUCGUCUUCAUAACGCUAAUCCAAACAUUAAACACGAGUCAAGUUCCUCUCACGCUGACACAAAAUCCUAUGCGUGAGUUGGAAAUUAAUUAUUUAUUUAAUUCUAAAAUCCUGGGUCUUACAAUAUUGGAGGGUGAUAGGGUGACGAUGGUGGUGGAUGGCGGUGACAGUGGUGGUAGUAGUGGCGGUAGUGGCGAUGAUGACAAUGAUAGAGUGGUGGUGGAGGUGAUGAUGGUCGCAGUGGUGGUGGCGGCGUUGGUGGUGGAGGGUGGUGGUAGUGGGGAUAACGAUGACGGGAAUUAACGAUGGUGGUACUGGUGGAGCGUGGUGAUGGUGGCGGUGACGGUGGUGGAGGGUGGUCGGAGGUGGCGAAGGUGGUGGUUGAGGGCGGUGGUGGUGGAGGAGGGUGGUGGCGGCGGGGGUGGUGGUGGCGGCGAAAGUGAUGGAUGGUGGAUGAUGGUGGAGGGUGGUGGUGGAGGGUGGUGGUGGUGAAGGGUGGUGGCGACAGAAGUGAUGGAGGGUAUUGGCGGUGGCGAUGGUGGUGAUGGAGGAUGGGGUGGAUGGUGGUGGUGGCGGUGGAGGGUGGUGGCGGCUGUGGUGAUGGAGGGUGGUGGUGGCGGCGGCAGUGGAGGGUGGUUGUGGCAGCAAUGGUGGUGGUGGUGGCGGUAGUGGUGGGCGGCGACGGUGGUGGUGGAGGUUGUGGUGGUGGCAGUUAAUUAAAUAUAUUCAAGUAGUUUAUACAUCACAUUUUUAUCAUGUCUUAUAUAUAGGGUGGAUUAAAUAUUCCAUCAUUUUGAUGUAUAAGAGAAAAUUGAUGUAUAAACUUAUACAAUACAACGUGAGCACUAAACAAUGGAUAAUCCAUGAUGUAUUAUAUAAGCUUAUGCUAUCAUGCCUAAUACGGCGUACCAAACGUGCCUUAAUAGUAUGAGAGAGAAAGUUUGUGAAGAAAGACAUAAAAUGAGGUGGUGACACUUGUCAAAGUUGCCACUUUUCGGUUUCAGAAAUAGUAUAUAUAUAUACACGAUAAGAUAGGAUUUUUUUUUGGUUACAAUAAGAUAGGAUAUGAUAGAAUAUGAUAAGGUAUGAUAGGAUUAAAAUGAGUAAAAUAUUAAUUAUCAAUCAUAAUUUUUUAUGCAUUCAGAUCAAUACUAAUUGAUUAUUAAUAAAUCUUUAUUAUAUGAUUGACACACUAGAUGAUACCUAUAACUAAGCAAAAAAAAAACCACUAAUUGAAAAAAUGGUUAAUACAAAGUACUAUUAACUAAAUAUAUAUUUUAAAAUUAACUAAAUAUAUUAAAUAAUUGAGAUUAAUGGAUAUGCAUUGUUUGUGUAAAGAAGUGUUACACGGACGUCCAAUCACAUUAUGUCACAUAGGACUAAGUGGUUACAAAUAUUUUUAAUUUUAGUUAGUAAAUUAAUAAAUUGCUGAUGUGGCGGAAAUCAAUUUAGUGGAGAUAACCUUCUUCGCAGGGGCGGAUCCAGACCUUAUAUGUUAGUGUGGCUAAACAUAAAAGAAAUUACUGAUUAAAAUAUAUUGAAAUCUUUUUUUCAAAAGAGAUAAAUAUUAUAGAUAAAACCAUGAGAGAAAGUUUCUCAUGGAAAUAGAAGAGUUUACAGUCCAAGAAGGACUAGGCUUACAACGAAAUAUAACAAAAGAAACAGAGUGAAAACAACAGUACACUAUUCUUCUUUAUAUAUGUAUUGUGUUGGAUGACAUGAUGAGCACAUUUGAGUGAACAUUAAUUUCAUGAUGGAUAUGAACAACAUACAAAAUAUAAAAUACAUUCAGGAAGAGAAUAGAAUGAAAGCAACACAUUGUGAGAGACUUGGUUUUUUUUUUAUCAACUAAGGUAAGAUGUAUUAAAAUGGGAGUACUAGGUGUACUCCAAACCCACUUACAGCAAGAAAGCACAUAACUGUGAAAAGCAAAAGAAUAGAGCAACAAUUCUGUUUUGCUUACACGUACAGGCCUGCUACCCACAAAAACUAAACUCAAACAAAAUUGUUUGUACAAGAAAAAUAGAAGAAAAUCAACGAACACAAGUUUCAGUAUAGAUACAAUUGCCUCACAAACCAGAGUAAAAUCUUACACACUUAGAAUUGUGAUUGGAUAACACAAGUUCUCAAGCAUAUAAUUUUUUUCUAAAAAAAAAAAACCUGGUGUGGUUAAGCUGAGAAACGUCAUACUACUUAGGAUUAAGGAUUGGACUUUUCGUUAAAAAAAGGAUUGGACUUUUAUGGUAUUUUUAGGACUUGUAUUUUUUGCACAUGUGGGGAUUGCUUUUAGCACACCCAUUUUUACAAUUUACACAUCCAUUAGUUUUAAAAUUUUAAAAGAUAAAGAAAGUUUUUUUUAUCAAAGAUAAUCAAUUCAAUACCCAAAAGAUUGUCUAACGACAUUUACAAUAUGUAAGAAUAAAUCUCAACAAGCGAUAUCGCACUGCAAUAUAUAAGUAAUCACAGAAACAAGCAUACACACUCAAACAACAAAAUUAAACAUCAACUAAAAGCAUGAUGUAAAAAUCUUAAGGAUCAUACAAAAGCUCCUAAUAAACAUCCAAGCAGAUAAAAAUAAGUCUAAUACAGGAUUAGAGUAUUGGGCUAGUGCUUUGAAUCUCAUUUGUUUUAUACCAACUCAUUGUUUUGGGCGCUACCCUUUAUGUGAUUACUUAUGUAUUGCAUUGUGAUAUCGGUUGUUGAGAUUUGUCAUUGAAUAUUCAUUUGCUAGAUCCUUAUUAGAAUAUUCAUUUGUUUAUAAUUUACAUUGAUGUGAGUUAGUUUCUCUUUUUUUUCAGAAGAGAAGGAAAAAAAAGAGUUAGUUUCUCUUUUGACCAAAAAGAAAGUUAAUUUCUCAUGUGUUAUGUUUGGAACAGGUGAAAAUGCCGUGAUGGAAAACUACAUCAGGGAAAAAGAUAUAAAAUUACUGUACACUAUAUGUUUGGUUACACAAAAACAUGUCAGAAGGUGGUAAAACCAUUCUUGCAUAAAUCAUGGCUAUGAUUUCCCUAAAAUGAAAAGUUAUAGAAACAAAACAAGUAAUUGACAAUUUUUUUAAAACAAGACUCUCCCAAGUGAGUUAAUGAAUUUUGAAAAAGUCCAACAAACAACAAAAGAUUCAAAAGGAACAACUAAUGCACAAAUCCGCAACAAACAAGAGGAUAAAAAUAACAGUCAAUUGUUCUGAUAUCAAGUGUGAGUAAAUCAAACAUUGAAAGAUAAAAAAAACUUUGAGCGGUUUAUAAGUGUGAGAACUCAUAAACCCAAUGUCAUCAGGUUUUGAGUGAAAGAUGUGAUGUCUGGUCCACUUGUGAUUUGCUCUUUAAAUUUCAAUGUGGAGUUUUAUCCCAAAUUUUAAAAUCAUCUCUUUUGUUUGACCAUUUAUUUUGCCCAACAGUGAUAUCAGGGUCGAUGGUUGUUUGAACAUGGGUCAUGAGCCUCUGAGGUUCCGUUUGAGUACAAGCCCAACUUUCAUUUGAGAUGGACUCACACUUGAGAAGGAGAUUGUUGUGUACUAUCAAGUGCGAGUAAGCCACUUACACAUUUGAAGAUAAAUGAUAAAUUUGAGUGGUUUAUAAGCGUGUGAACCCAUGCAUGUACUCAUUGUCUUAAGGUUUUGGAUGAAAAUUGUGGUAUCCAACUCACUUAUGGUUUGCUCUUUAAAGUCCAAUGUAGAGUUUUAUCCCCGAAUAUUAAACUAUCUCCUUUCUUCGGCCCUUUAUUAGGCCCAACUUGUUUCAUGUGGAAUAUCUCAAUAAUUCGAAGAGAAUGAGUUGUAUUUUCAAAAACAACUAGUAAUAUAUUUCAUUAAUAAUAAAACUUUUAGAAAAGUGCGAAAAAUAUAUUUAUAUUUUAUUGUAUAAUACGUGUUGAAUAUGUGAAGAGAUCAAGUGUGGCAAAAAACUUUAUUCCUUUUAGGAUUGAGUAACAUAGUUCAUUCAUUAUUUAUUGAUUAGAAUAACAUUAUAUUUUUUUAUAGGGAUAGAAUAACAUUAUAAAUCAGUCAGAUUUGAGUAGAAAAAAUUCCAAUCCUGAUUUAAUCAUUUUUAUAAAAUUGAAAUCAUACCAUAUGGGGCUAAAUCAGCUUUGUAACCCCCCAGGAGUUUGAUUCGAAUUUCACCCCUUGUCCAAAAUAAAAAGCCAGAGUUAAUUGCGUCUUUUAGUGACUUAAUGUGUAUUUAAUAACAACCAUUGAAAAUUUGAAAAGAAAAAACAAAACAAAGCAAUACAAUGAUUGACAGAACAUACAUGCAGGCAAAAAGCACACAAAAAACCAUAGAAUCUGUUUUCCUUUUUUCUAUUUAUGAAAACGGCUUGUGGUUAUUUUAAUUUUAUCAAGCAAAACAUUGGUUGGUAAUUGGCUACAACCAGAGCCUAUGGUUUUUCUAAGUUCCAAGUUUGAUACAUUAAAAAAAGGUUACAAUCCUUUGCUAAAUUAAGCUAUGAUUUAUAAUAAUAGCAACCCUUGGCCUCCUCAAAAUUUUGCAGGCCAUUAAGAACCAAACAAAACAAACUAAAAUUAACGCGUAGUGACCCUUUAUAAAACCUUUCAAGAAUUAGCUACAACACAAUUGAUCAUUAUUCCUUCAACCUUUCUUUGCUUUCUAAUUAGCGUUCUUUCUCUUGUUAUUGUAGAGGGAGGACGAUAAUAUCAAGAAAGAAACUUUGUUUUAUUCUCUUAAUUAACUCAUCUAUCAUUCAAUAUGGGAAACUGUGGCAGCAACCCUAAGACCAAUGAGGGUCCUGAGCCAGUGCCUGAGAUUAAGAAUGAGGAGGUUAAGGUUGAGCAGGUGCAGGAGAGUGAAGCCAAUGUUGAAAAGAAGACAGAGGAAACCCCUAAUGAAGAUAACAAGUCUCUAAGCACCUUGCUCAAUGAGGUAAUAUCUUAAUUUCUCCUUCAAAUUAGGUCUCUGAGAUGACUGAAAUCUUCUGUUUUCAUUUGAUCUAUAUCUUUGUUCUACCAAUCAAAUUAUGUCAUAUAAUUCAGAAAUCACUAAUAUAAGAUUAUAAAUGUUAUACUCAUGCAAUUUGAUUGGUGACGAAAAAAAGAGACUUGGGAUUAAGAUCUUCAUCCAUCCCAAACUUGGUUAAAAUAAUUGUUAGUUUAUGAGUUUUACCUUUUUUUAAUCACCAUUUUGCAAAUUUACAUGAUAUUAUUUAUCAAUUUAUUUUGAUGUUUUUAUAAGAAUUAUAAUGGUAAAAUUAUUAAUAUAAUGAAAGUAUAAUUUUUUUUCGUUACAAUUGGAAAAAUAAUGAAAGCGUUAUUUAAUAAAAUAUUUUUUAUAACACAAUCAAAAGUUUUAGUUAUUUUCUUAAUAUUUUUGUAAAAUCUUAGAUGACAAUUACUCUUUCCCUUCAUUAAAAUAAAACCAUUUUAAAAAUUUCAAAUUAUUUCAAACAAAGUGAGCAUAAAAAUUAGGUUUUUAUAUCACCCAAGAUAAAUAUUAGGUUAAAUCACAUAAUAUUCUCGUGACAAAUGUCAAAAUAUUAUUUGACCACCUAAAUUAGAGUAAUUUUACACAAGGUAAAUCUUAAAUGAUUUAUGAAAUUCUGAAAGAUGCUAAUCUAAAAUACAGUUAAAAAAUUUAGAUUUGAUGAACCGUACCAAAAAAUAUUUGAUUUAUUAGAAUAUUGAAAAUGGUGUGAAGAUUAAGAAUACUUUACCAACAACAAUUAAGUUUUGUUUUUAAGGUUACAGCAAUGAAGUUAUACUUCUAAAACAUUUCAAUCUAAUGCUAUUACAUCCUCCUAAACAUUUCAACCUAAUUAUUAUCACUUUUGUACAAGCAGAAUGAAGAGGAGGCAAAGAAACCUGAGGAAGAAGUACAAGCUGAGCCCAAGGAAGAAAAAGCAACCACUGAGGAAGUAAAGGUUGAAACCAAGGAAGUAAACCCGAAACCCGAGGAGGAGCCCAAGGAAGAAGAACCUAAAGCCCAAGUUCAAGAAGAGAAGCCCAAAACAGAAGAGGCAUAGAGCUGAGAAACGUGCGUGUAGACAAAGGUUUUACCAGGAUUGAUUUUAUAUACUUCAACAAGUAUACAAAUUUGUUGCCUUUCUGUUUAGUGCUCCAAGGAAAAUUUAUUAGAUCUUAUAUUAUGCAAAAUUGAAUUUCGAUUUAGAGUUGUUGGAUUAAAUGAGCAUUUAAUUAAUAAGUUCUUUUUCCAAAUUAUUUCUAUGGUGUGAUAGUCUUUUUCGAAUUUCUCAAGUUAUUUUUUAAUUUUACAUAAAUAUUAAAUAAACUUUCACGCUCGUGAAGGCAUAAUAAAUUCUGAUUUUUUUUGAAAUCUAUCUAUAUCUAUAUCUAUAUCUAUAUACUUUAGAAAAGAGGAAGCUUGUGAGACCCACCAUGCUGAUUUGGCACUCCAAGAAUUACUCUCACCCAACCUCCUUCUUUGCCUAACAAGUGUCACCCUCUUAUUGAUUUGGACCAAAACAUUACAAAGCCCAUUUUCAUUUCAGUUUUGUAUGGAGGCCCAUUAUUGAAAGCUUAUAUAUUGAAUGCUGAUUUUUUAUUAUUUUUUUUAGCCAUUCAUUAAUUGCUAACAUAAAAUAUCCACAUUAAUGGCUGAUUAACAUUUUGACUAUUUCAACUAUUUAAUUACAAAUAAUUUUUGUUUUGCACCACAAGAUCCAUUUGUUUAAAUAGAAUUAUCAUUUUUCAAAAAUAUUCGAAAUAGUUUCGAAUUUCCUAUAAUUACUCAUUACCUGUGCGAGGACCGUCGACAACGCGUUUCUCAGUUUUUUUUUUUUAAAUCAACGCGUUUCUCAGUUAAAUAACGCGUUUCCUAUAAUUAAUCAUUUCCAUAAAUGAGAAAUAUUGACCUAUCAUUCAUAAUAAUUAUAAGUGAACCGUACGUUUGUAAUAUUAUAAUAAAUGGAAUCACUAUUUAAUAUCAUGAUUUGUAACGCACGGGGUAAUAUUUUAAUAUCUUUUUUGCUACAUCGGUAAUAUUUUAAUAUCAUGAUUGAUACAUUCCAUUCUUAUGAAGAAAAAAUUACCCUGGAAUUAAUUGAAUUUCCUAUUUUGAGUAGUAAAUCACCUUAUGCUAUUAAAAGUCACUAUAAGCGUACGAUUGAAAUUUUGGUUGAAAAAAGAAAUAGCGCCGGCUAAUUUCAAAUACCAUGCAUAAUAUUACCUUAAUUUUCCUUCCUUUUUUAACUUGCAUUGAGAAGUAACCCUAAUUCUGAAAUUUAUAUAUAAAUCACCUCAUGCUAUUCUUCAACUUUAUCAAUCCUUCCAUUUUCCACCAACUAUUAGCUUUGAAAAUUCUGAAUAUUACCCGUCAAACACUCAUCUUUUUGAACUCAACUUCCGGGAGGAUACGCCCACUAUCGGUGAGUCUUUAUUAAUUAUUUUGUAGUUAUAUUAUUCGCACAAUAUUAACAAUUUCUGAUAUCUGGAAAUUUUAGAUAUAAUCGGUGUUUUGAGUAAGGUUGGACGAGUACAAGAGUUCACAAUCCUUAGAAAGAUUGAGAAGGUCGUCCGAAUUGAUCGACCUUUCUGCAGCAGGGUAAUUUAAUAUGCAUUCGUGUACUCAUUUAUAAUUACGUUUUUUUUUUUUUCCAAUACACCAAAGAACCUAAUUUUGUCUUUUAUUGAUAUAGCAGAGCAAAAUUGAAUGUUUUGAUUGGGAAAUUUGUACAAG